ACCACAACGGGUGGAGCUUGCGGUUUAAUGGAUUCAACGCCGGAAAUCUUACCGGGACCGACAGCAAUAUGAAGGCCAGGCUGAAGACUUUGCCGGAUUAGCUGAGAGGUGGUGCAUGGCCGUCGUCAGUUCGUACUGUGAAGCAUCCUGUUAAGUCAGGCAACGAGCGAGACCCACGCCCACAGUUGCCAGCGUACUCUCUGGAGUGACGGGUACACUGUGGGGACCGCCGCUGCUAAAGCGGAGGAAGGAAUGGGCAACGGUAGGUCAGUAUGCCCCGAAUAUCCCGGGCUACACGCGAGCUACAAUGGUUGGUACAAUGGGUAUCUACCCCGAAAGGGGACGGGAAUCUCCUAAACCCAUCCGUAGUUCGGAUUGUGGGCUGCAACUCGCCCACAUGAAGCUGGAAUCUGUAGUAAUCGUGUCUCAAAAUGGCACGGUGAAUAUGUCCCUGCUCCUU
This 460-nucleotide ribosomal RNA is filed under the name uncultured Methanolinea sp. Its description in RNAcentral is "bacterial SSU rRNA". It matches the Rfam family "Archaeal small subunit ribosomal RNA", at positions 878 to 1338 of the family's 1478-position model. The record is from RNAcentral. Lineage: Archaea; Methanobacteriati; Methanobacteriota; Methanomicrobia; Methanomicrobiales; Methanoregulaceae.